This 449-nucleotide ribosomal RNA is filed under the name uncultured bacterium. RNAcentral describes it as "partial 16S ribosomal RNA". It matches the Rfam family "Bacterial small subunit ribosomal RNA", at positions 29 to 523 of the family's 1533-position model. The record is from RNAcentral.
AACGAACGCUGGCGGCAUGCCUAACACAUGCAAGUCGAACGAAGCCUUCGGGCUUAGUGGCGCACGGGUGCGUAGCGCGUAGGAAUCUGCCCUUUGGUUCGGAAUAACAGUUGGAAACGACUGCUAAUACCGGAUGAUGACGAAAGUCCAAAGAUUUAUCGCCAGAGGAUGAGCCCGCGUAGGAUUAGCUAGUUGGUGUGGUAAAGGCGCACCAAGGCGACGAUCCUUAGCUGGUCUGAGAGGAUGAUCAGCCACACUGGGACUGAGACACGGCCCAGACUCCUACGGGAGGCAGCAGUGGGGAAUAUUGGACAAUGGGCGAAAGCCUGAUCCAGCAAUGCCGCGUGAGUGAUGAAGGCCCUAGGGUUGUAGAGCUCUUUUACCCGGGAUGAUAAUGACAGUACCGGGAGAAUAAGCCCCGGCUAACUCCGUGCCAGCAGCCGCUGUAA